CUCCGGGCCGGCUGGAUGGGUCAUUAAUUACUGAUCGAUUACUGAUUAAUUACGGAUUAAUUGCUGAUUAAUUAUUGCCUCAGGGCCCGCGAGCGGGGUUCACUUCCUAUUGGCUCUGGCGCCUGUCAAUCAAAGCUCUCAGCCAAUCACAACUCUCAUAGUGGCGGGGGGGUGGGGUAUCGCCUCAGGGGGCAGCGGCGCGCCGUUCCUGCUCCGGGCCCUGUCCCGAGGCCGCGGCGCUGCCGGGGCGGUUUCCGGAGCUUUUCCCGGGCGGGGGUCGCGCUCCCGGUGCCGCCGUUAACAAAGUCUGGGGGUCCCCGGUGCCCUCCGGUAAUUCCGGGUGCUCAAAGCUCCCGCGUUCCCGCCUCUGUGGCGGUGGUGUUUCUAAUUGGUCCGCGCGGCUGUCACUCAGCGCUCGCAGCCAAUCACACACGGAUGUUAGACGCUCCCGCCUUUGCGGUAACAGCACUUCUCAUUGGCCAGCGCGUCUGUCACUCACCGCCCUCAGCCAAUCCCGGCGGGGCAGGGGCGGGACCCCGGAGCUCCCACAGAAGUCGCGGCCAUUCCCGUUUUUGGGUUUAAUUCCCGGAUUUUCGGUUUAAUCCUCAAUUUUCGUGCUUAAUUCCCGGAUUUUUGGUUUUAAUUCCCAGCUUUGAGGUUUAAUUCCCGCCUUUUGUGUUUAAUUCCCUUUUUAUUUUGUUAAUUUCCCAUUUUUUUGGGAUAUAAUUCCCCCCUUUUUUUUGUUUAAUCCACAAUUUUUGAGUUUAAUUCCCAAUUUUUGUGAAUUUCAGGAUCCACAACCCCACCCCCAAAAUCCAGGCUAUUUUCAUUUCCUCCCAUUCCCAUUUUUCCCCCCAAGUAAAAAGAAUUCCAAACUAUUUCCAGACCAAAAAAAAAACCUCGCCUUGAUCAGGAAUUUUUUUCUCCAACUGCCAAAUUCCAAAAAAAUUCCUGGGAAAAAAAAAACCGAGAAACUCCUGAAAAAACUCCCAAGAAAUCCACCUGGAAAGCUGCCGGGAAAGGCUAAAAAUCCGGGAUCCUCCUUGGCCGGGGGCGGUGGAUUCAUGAUUUGGGGGAUUUGGGGGAUUUUGGGGGGAUUUUGGGGUAAUUUUGGGGAUUUUUUUGGGAACUUUUUUGGGAAUUUUGGGGGAACUUUCUGGGAUUUUUUUGGGGAACUUUUUGGGAAUUUUUUGGGAAUUUUUUGGGAACUUUUUGGGAAUUUUUUUGGGGAUCAGAGGCUGACCUGGGCUCGCUCCGCUCCUGCGCUUCCCGGUACAGGAACACCAGACUCAGGAAAUGCACCAGGAAUUGCAACAACACCGUCAGCACCGUGUACAGGUUGAAAAUGUUGGGAAGAGGCCUCUCCUUGGAAAGAGUCUUCAGGGGCUGGAAGGGUUAAAAAAAAACGGGAAUAAAAACCAGGAAUGUGGGAUGGGAUGAGCUGGA
This 1446-nucleotide long non-coding RNA is filed under the name Parus major (Great Tit). RNAcentral's name for it is "lncRNA (ENSPMJG00000015558.1)". Lineage: Eukaryota; Metazoa; Chordata; Aves; Passeriformes; Paridae. The record is from RNAcentral.